The sequence is a ribosomal RNA, 814 nucleotides long. It matches the Rfam family "Bacterial large subunit ribosomal RNA", at positions 1582 to 2397 of the family's 2925-position model.
GUCUUCGAGUCGUUGAUUUCACACUGCCGAGAAAAGCCUCUAGAUAGAAAAUAGGUGCCCGUACCGCAAACCGACACAGGUAGUCAAGAUGAGAAUUCUAAGGUGAGCGAGCGAACUCUCGUUAAGGAACUCGGCAAAAUGACCCCGUAACUUCGGGAGAAGGGGUGCUCUUUAGGGUUAACGCCCAGAAGAGCCGCAGUGAAUAGGCCCAAGCGACUGUUUAUCAAAAACACAGGUCUCUGCUAAACCGUAAGGUGAUGUAUAGGGGCUGACGCCUGCCCGGUGCUGGAAGGUUAAGAGGAGUGGUUAGCUUCUGCGAAGCUACGAAUCGAAGCCCCAGUAAACGGCGGCCGUAACUAUAACGGUCCUAAGGUAGCGAAAUUCCUUGUCGGGUAAGUUCCGACCCGCACGAAAGGCGUAACGAUUUGGGCACUGUCUCAACGAGAGACUCGGUGAAAUCAUAGUACCUGUGAAGAUGCAGGUUACCCGCGACAGGACGGAAAGACCCCGUGGAGCUUUACUGUAGCCUGAUAUUGAAAUUCGGCACAGCUUGUACAGGAUAGGUAGGAGCCUUUGAAACGUGAGCGCUAGCUUACGUGGAGGCGCUGGUGGGAUACUACCCUAGCUGUGUUGGCUUUCUAACCCGCACCACUUAUCGUGGUGGGAGACAGUGUCAGGCGGGCAGUUUGACUGGGGCGGUCGCCUCCUAAAAGGUAACGGAGGCGCUCAAAGGUUCCCUCAGAAUGGUUGGAAAUCAUUCAUAGAGUGUAAAGGCAUAAGGGAGCUUGACUGCGAGACCUACAAGUCGAGCAGG